UUUGAGAAUUUUAUCUAAAAUAUAAAACCUAUUGAUCAAAAAAUCUAAUAAAAUAUUCAUCUAUCCACAAAAAUUCUUGUUAUCGUAGUUUCUAAAUCACAAUCCCCAAUCUACAAUAUUUCUAAAAAAAUGAAAACUUUCUUAAAAUAGAAUUUUUGAGAAUUAUUUUUAAAAAAAUACAACUAUUGAUCAAAAAAUCUAAAAGAAUACUCAUCUAUAAACAAAAAAAUUCUUGUUAUCCUAAUUUCUAAAUCAAAACUCCAAAUCCACACUAUUACUCACAAAAAUGAAAACUUUCCUAAAACAGAACUUUUGAGAAUUUUAUCUAAAAUAUAAAACCUAUUGAUCAAAAAAUUAAAAAAAAAAUACUCAUUUAUCCGCAAAAGAUCUUGUUUUCCUAGUUUCUAAAUCACAACCCCCAAUCUACAAUAAUUCUAUAAAAAAUGAAAAAUUUCCUAAAAUAGAAUUUUUGAGAAUUAUUUUCAAAAAUACAACUAUUGAUCAAAAAAUCUAAAACAAAUUCUCAUCUAUAAACAAAAAAAUUCUUGUUAUCCUAAUUUCUAAAUCAAAACCCCAAAUCCACACCAUUACUCACAAAAAUGAAAACUUUCCUAAAAUAGAAUUUUUGAGAAUUUUAUCAAAAAUAUAAAAUCUAUUGAUAAAAAAAAAACAAAAAACAAUACUUAUCUAUCCGCAAAAGUUCUUGUUUUCCUAGUUUAUAAACCACAACCCCCAAUCUACAAUAAUUCUAUAGAAAAUGAAAACUUUCCAAAAAUAGAAUUUUUGAGAAUUAUUUUUUAAAAAAAUACAACUAUUGAUAAAAAAAUCUAAAAGAAAUUCUCAUCUAUAAACAAAAAAAUUCUUGUUAUCCUAAUUUCUAAAUAAAAACCCCAAAUCCACACUAUUAUUCACAAAAAUGAAAAUUUUCCUAAAAGAGAAUUUUUGAGAAUUUUAUCUAAAAUAUAAAACCUAUUGAUCAAAAAAUCUAAAAAAAAUACUCAUCUAUCCACAAAAAUUCUUGUUAUCCUAGUUUCUAAAUCACAACCCCCAAUUUACACUAUUUCUAUAAAAAAUGAAAACUUUCCUAAAAUAGAAUUUUUGAGAAUUUUAUCUAAAAUAUACAACCUGUUGAUCAAAAAAUCUAAAAGAAUACUCAUCUAUAAACAAAAAAAAUUCUUGUUAUCCUAAUUUCUAAAUCAAAACCCCAAAUUAACACUAUUAUUCACAAAAAUGAAAACUUUCCUAAAAUAGAAUUUUUGAGAAUUUUAUCUAAAAUAUACAACCUGUUGAUCAAAAAAUCUAAAAGAAUACUCAUCUAUCUACAAAAAUUCUUGUUAUCCUAAUUUAUAAAUCACAGCCUCAAAUCUAUAAUAUUUCUCUAUAAAAAUGAAAACUUUCCUAAAAUAGAAUUUUUGAGAAUUUUAUCUAAAAUAUAAAAAUUACUGAUCAAAAAAAAAAAUACUCAUCUAU
Molecule: long non-coding RNA, 1470 nt
Filed under: Brassica napus (rape)
Lineage: Eukaryota; Viridiplantae; Streptophyta; Magnoliopsida; Brassicales; Brassicaceae
Description: long non-coding RNA (BNAP_LNC004090)
Source: RNAcentral